RNAcentral lists this long non-coding RNA (444 nucleotides) under Pan troglodytes (chimpanzee). Its description in RNAcentral is "long non-coding RNA NONPTRT017883". The record is from RNAcentral. Lineage: Eukaryota; Metazoa; Chordata; Mammalia; Primates; Hominidae.
CGCCGGGAGCCGGGGCCGCCCAGAGCCGCAGCCGCCGCGCGGGCAGGGCCGGGCCGGGCCGGGCCGGGCGCGCGGGCACAAAGGGGCCGCUGCACAUGGCAGGCAGGCGAGCAGAUGCCAGCAGACAGCUUUUGUCGUCCAGUAUCCCAGUCAUCCGCCUGACCUGCUCCUGUCUGAACAUCCUACCGCGAGUCAAGGCAAAUGGGCUCAGCUGCUGUUCCACUCCACCCAGGCUUGGAGUGGACUCCCCGUGAGCCUGCAGAGGGGCAGGAUGCUGAGUAGCAGGCCAUGCGGGUGCGCCCGGUUUCUCACCCCAGCCCCAGGGAAGAGGCUGUUUCAUUCUCUGAACCAAGAGGUGAUGAAGGGGAGAGCUCAAGCGGCCUCCUGUUCCCUUGGGAACUUGAGGGGGUGUCGGGAUGUGUUCCCUUUCUGCACUCAGCUGGG